This 492-nucleotide ribosomal RNA is filed under the name uncultured bacterium. Its description in RNAcentral is "partial 16S ribosomal RNA". It matches the Rfam family "Bacterial small subunit ribosomal RNA", at positions 29 to 507 of the family's 1533-position model. The record is from RNAcentral.
AGUGAACGCUGGCGGUAGGCCUAACACAUGCAAGUCGAACGGCAGCACAGUAAGAGCUUGCUCUUACGGGUGGCGAGUGGCGGACGGGUGAGGAAUACAUCGGAAUCUACUUUUUCGUGGGGGAUAACGUAGGGAAACUUACGCUAAUACCGCAUACGACCUACGGGUGAAAGCAGGGGAUCUUCGGACCUUGCGCGAUUGAAUGAGCCGAUGUCGGAUUAGCUAGUUGGCGGGGUAAAGGCCCACCAAGGCGACGAUCCGUAGCUGGUCUAAGAGGAUGGAUCGGCCACCCUGAAACUGAGAAAGGGUCCAGCUCCCUACGGGAGGCAGCAGUGGGGAUUAUUGGCAAAGGGGCGCAGGCAUAACCAACCCAAACGGCGUGGGUGAAGAAGGCCUUCGGGUUGUAAAGCCUUUUGUUGGGAAAGAAAAGCAGCAGGUUAAUACCCCGCUGUUCUGACGGUACCCAAAGAAUAAGCACCGGCUAACUUCGUG